Molecule: ribosomal RNA, 261 nt
Filed under: uncultured Neisseria sp.
Lineage: Bacteria; Pseudomonadati; Pseudomonadota; Betaproteobacteria; Neisseriales; Neisseriaceae
Description: partial 16S ribosomal RNA
Rfam family: Bacterial small subunit ribosomal RNA
Source: RNAcentral
CGAGUGGCGAACGGGUGAGUAACAUAUCGGAACGUACCGGGUAGCGGGGGAUAACUGAUCGAAAGAUCAGCUAAUACCGCAUACGUCUUGAGAGGGAAAGCAGGGGACCUUCGGGCCUUGCGCUAUCCGAGCGGCCGAUAUCUGAUUAGCUGGUUGGCGGGGUAAAGGCCCACCAAGGCGACGAUCAGUAGCGGGUCUGAGAGGAUGAUCCGCCACACUGGGACCGAGACACGGCCCAGACUCCUACGGGAGGCAGCAGAA